Molecule: ribosomal RNA, 722 nt
Filed under: Vermamoeba vermiformis
Lineage: Eukaryota; Tubulinea; Echinamoebida; Vermamoebidae
Description: SSU rRNA
Rfam family: Eukaryotic small subunit ribosomal RNA
Source: RNAcentral
GGGUUAUUAAGUUGUUGCAGUUAAAAGCUCGCCCUUGGAUUUCGGAAGGUCCUUAGCAGUCCGCCCCUUCGGGGAGCGGGUUGCUGGCCUCCUAUGUUCCUAACGGUCCUCAUCCGCGAGGGUGGGGAAUCAACCGCUAGGAUCGUUUACUUUGAGGAAAUUAGAGUGUUCAAAGCAGGGCGUAACUCGCCUCCGGAAUACGUUAGCAUGGGAUAAUGGAAUACGACUUCGUCUUGUUUCGUUGGUUUCGCUUGGCUGAAGUAAUGAUUGAUAGGGACAGUUGGGGGCAUUAGUAUUUAGUUGUCAGAGGUGAAAUUCUAGGAUUUACUAAAGACUGACCAAUGCGAAAGCAUUUGCCAAGGAUGUUUUCAUUAAUCAAGAACGAAAGUAGGGGGAUCGAAGACGAUCAGAUACCGUCGUAGUCUCUACCGUAAACUAUGCCGACCAGGGAUCCGGAGAGUUUGCAUGGAUGACUCCCCGGGCACCUUGUGAGAAAUCAUAAGUGUUUGGGUUUUGGGGGGAGUAUGGUCGCAAGGCUGAAACUUAAAGGAAUUGACGGAAGGGCACCACCAGGAGUGGAACCUGCGGCUUAAUUUGACUCAACACGGGGAAACUUACGAGGUCAGGACACUGUGAGGAUUGACAGAUUGAAAGCUCUUUCUUGAUUCAGUGGGUGGUGGUGCAUGGCCGGUGGGUAGUUGGUGGAGUGAUUUGUCUGUUAU